AACGAACGCUGGCGGCAUGCCUAACACAUGCCAGUCGAACGAGACCUUCGGGUCUAGUGGCGCACGGGUGCGUAACGCGUGGGAACCUGCCCUUAGGUUCGGAAUAACUCCCCGAAAGGGGUGCUAAUACCGGAUAAUGUCUUCGGACCAAAGAUUUAUCGCCUUUGGAUGGGCCCGCGUUGGAUUAGCUAGUUGGUAGGGUAAAAGCCUACCAAGGCGACGAUCCAUAGCUGGUCUGAGAGGAUGAUCAGCCACACUGGGACUGAGACACGACCCAGACUCCUACGGGAGGCAGCAGUGGGGAAUAUUGGACAAUGGGCGAAAGCCUGAUCCAGCAAUGCCGCGUGAGUGAUGAAGGCCUUAGGGUUGUAAAGCUCUUUUACCCGGGAUGAUAAUGACAGUACCGGGAGAAUAAGCUCCGGCUAACUCCGUG
This 433-nucleotide ribosomal RNA is filed under the name uncultured bacterium. RNAcentral's name for it is "partial 16S ribosomal RNA". It matches the Rfam family "Bacterial small subunit ribosomal RNA", at positions 29 to 507 of the family's 1533-position model. The record is from RNAcentral.